This 371-nucleotide ribosomal RNA is filed under the name uncultured bacterium. RNAcentral describes it as "bacterial SSU rRNA". It matches the Rfam family "Bacterial small subunit ribosomal RNA", at positions 527 to 896 of the family's 1533-position model. The record is from RNAcentral.
GAAGGGUGCAAGCGUUACUCGGAAUUACUGGGCGUAAAGCGUGCAUAGGUGGUGAGUUAAGUCUGUCGUGAAAGCCCCGGGCUCAACCUGGGAAUGGCGAUGGAUACUGGCUCGCUAGAGUGCGGUAGAGGGUGGUGGAAUUCCCGGUGUAGCAGUGAAAUGCGUAGAGAUCGGGAGGAACAUCAGUUGCGAAGGCGGCCACCUGGACCAGCACUGACACUGAGGCACGAAAGCGUGGGGAGCAAACAGGAUUAGAUACCCUGGUAGUCCACGCCCUAAACGAUGCGAACUGGACGUUGGGAGCAACUAGGCUCUCAGUGUCGAAGCUAACGCGUUAAGUUCGCCGCCUGGGGAGUACGGUCGCAAGACUG